Molecule: long non-coding RNA, 4210 nt
Organism: Bos taurus (domestic cattle)
Lineage: Eukaryota; Metazoa; Chordata; Mammalia; Artiodactyla; Bovidae
Source: Ensembl
UGGGGACCUGAGUGGCCGCCCUCAGCCCCGCUGGACCUCACAGCUGCGGGGCUGCCCUGCCCCCAGCCCCGGCCUGGAUGUCGAAAUCCGCGCAGAGGCUGCUGGGACGUGGCGAUAUCCGUAGGCCCACCACAUCUGCAGUGCAGGGGGCCGGCAGCGGCUCGGAGACAGGUCCAACCUGCUUCACCACAGACGCGGCGUCAGCGUCAAGACGACAACCGCAGGAGCGAUGCCUUAUAACCGGAAGCAGAAAGGGCCUGGUUGUUCCUUGCACCCUGAGAAGCCACCUCUUGAUGGACGAGGAAACCCAGACUCCCAGAGGUGAAGCGACUUGCCAUGGGCACCCAGGGACCCACGUCAGGGCCCCUGGGCCCUGUGCCUGCCAGCCACACCCUGGGCCCCUCGCCCACCCACCAGACCCUUCCGAGGACCCCGCAGGUAGGUGUCAACUUUCCCACUCUUGGCUGCCGCAGCUCCAAAUGGGCAGGGGCAGGGGCUUGUCUGGAGUCAUCUCGCCAGGAAGGGCAACACCAAGACUGCCUCCUGGCGCCCUGAUGGUCCGACGUCAGAGCCCACAGACUUGCAUGCUCAGUCGCUCAGUCGUGUCCGACUCUGCAAACUGCUGGACAGUAGCCCGCCAGGCUCCUCUGUUCAUGGGAUUUUUCAGGCCAGAAUACUGGACUGGGUUGCCAUUUCCUCCUCCAGGGGAUCUUCCCGACCCAGGGAUGGAACCCAUGUCUCCUGCAUGGCAGAUGGAUUCUUCACCUGCUGAGCCAUCAGGGAAGACCCACUGUCUCUCCCAAAACUUUUCCUGAAACUCCCCACAUUUUGAGUCAUAGGAGGGAGUCCGCAUGAGCCCGGCAGAGUGGGGUUAGGCCCCGGCCAGCAGGCAGCCCCCUCCUGUGCUGGGGACAGCUGGGGGACUGGGCCUCGGCCAACAGCAUCCUUUUACAAUGAUACAUUAUUUACCUAGCUCAAGCCACACACACAUGCGCCCUCUGCGGAUAAUUUUGGUCUGUCCUUUUUAAGCAACAACACAGUUAUACUUAACCAUUCAAGAGGAAGUGAAGCCCACACAGUGUCUCCUCUGUGAUCCUACAGAAAAACGACCAGGCCAGCCAGCCGUGCUCAGGCUACAGCACACCAGCACAGCAGAGCAUCUGGCACCUGUGGAGAAAGCGGGGGUUACUCGCCUCUACACAGACAGCCCCAAACUGGCAGUCGGCUGGUGCUGUUCUUGUGUUUACUUCUAGCGGUUAUUCUGUCUCCUCUCCUGUCGUUGGCCAGUCACUUCUAGAAGCACCCAGGCUCUGCUUGGAAAGCGGCUAACAAGCUCGAUGCCUCUUGCCAGUGAAUGGACCAUCGAUGACUACUGCGAGCAGAGCUUAACAAGGGGAAUUCAUGGUGAGAACAAGCGCCAUCGAGUCCUCCUUGAGCUCCGGACGCUCUGGGGGCUCCAGGACAGAACUCGGGGAUCUGACACCGCAAGGGUGCCAGCCUGGAUGAAGUUCUGUGCCAAGCUCAGCAAGGCUCCACUUCCUUGAGAUGCUUUACCGCCACCUGCUGGAAAAGUAUCCUGGCAAAUACAUCUCCCCUGAUGCCCCUCUGAGCAGCACACAUCAGAGCUGUGUAGUGCACAACUUGUCCAGCUGUCCAUGGCAACCCCGUCUCAGCGCCGCCAGGCUUCCUUGUUUCCCCAUCGUGUUUUAUCCGUUUCUCUCUCCGUUUCAUUCUCUAGUACCUUAGACAGGCUUUAUCUUUGUGGCUGAAAUCAGGCUGCUCUGUGACUUGUGAGACAAAGUCCCUUCCCCUCCCGCCCCCAAAUAUAAAAGUCUAGGUAAGGACUCUGGUCCAUCACUGAGCCUUCUCCGUGGUCAGAGGCAGGGGACAGGUGUCAGGAUGGGCAAGGUUGUGCCGUGCAACGCGCCACGUAGAACCUCAGCGGUGCUUUAUUUCUCCCUCACUCUGAACAUCCACCCCUGUCUGCCCAGGGGGCUCUGCUCACCUGGGGCUUUCAGGGACCCAGACUGACAGAUGCCUCAGCUCAAAAUGUGUUCCCGCCAUUGCUGCAGCAAGAGCAAGGCACUUGGAGCAUCGCCCACUGGCUGGGAAAGUGUCCCCAGGGAGGAAAGCGUCCCCGGGGAGACACACAGGCACUGAGCUCACGGUUCAUGAAGCAAGUCCGUGGGCAUGUCCAAGCUCAGGGGUGGAGAGAAGCACCCUCCAGGAGGAUCUGUCCUUGGAUCACACUGCACUCUCGGGGCAGCAGGGGCUAGGCUGGGGGGCGGGCAGGGGACCAUGAUCGCUACAGCCUGGGCUGGAGGGGUGGGAGCUCCUCCAGGAAGGGGAGGAGGGUGCCAGCGACUCUGAACACGCCCGGGGUUGCGGCCAAGAGGGAGCUGGGCCAGGCAGGAGAGUGUGAGCAGGGGCAGUGGGCGGCCGCACGCGGCUCUGGGCACUGCAGCAGCAGGAGCCCCGAGGGCCCCCGGGACCAGCUCUCUGGGAAUAAAGAGUCAGGCUCCAGCCCAGGCGAGACAGCAGGAGUGGUCUGGCCUGGACUCCACCGGGAUGGGUUAGACGGGGACCCUCUCUAUUUGCUUCCCCUCUGGUGCUGGGGUUGGCUGUGGGCAGGCUGGGGUGUUAGGAAUGACUCAUCCGUCAGAGUUGAAGCUUCCGCUAGACAGAGGCUACUGGCCCUCGGACUGGUCAAAGAACGGUCUCAGGUUCGAGGAGCUCUCGGGGAAGCCACCACUGCUGGAUAGGUGCCCACCACGUGCCAGGCUAGCGUGCCCCCCAGCCCCACCACCAGGAGUGCCCAUCUCAGCUGCGCGGACGAGAGCCUGGGGUUCGGGAACGCAUCACACAGCUGGCACCCCAUGCCAGGCCUCGGACCCCCGCGGCAUCACAGGAUUCCUGGGGAAGGAGCCACAGCCUUUGAAACGACGACGGGUCCUCACGUGACCGAAGACCUCGGGAACCAGAUGGGCGUCCGCCGGCCUGUGUUUUCGGCACAUUCCUGAGCUCCGAGAGGAGAAAUAAAAGUGUUCCCUUGUCUGCAAGCUGAAGAGACAGCAAUAUUGUGGCGUAACUAGGACCAGAUGGGCUCCAGGAAUUUCCAAACGCCUCUCAGCGCAUUAGACAAAAUAGCCUCCCAGCCGCACACCAUAACUCCGUCUGGCCGCCCGGGUAUCGGUUACCGCGAUGACUGGCGGGGUGUGAGUGCUGGCUCGGGGGUCCCAGCAGGGAAGGGGUCUCCGGUUGGGCCAUCGCCCCCUCCUCCUGGCCCCUUGGGAGCACCCCUCAUGUGUGAGCCCUCCUCAGAGCUCCAAGGCCAGGGUGCCCAAUGGGAAAUCUCAGAAAGGGGUGGGACGCCCCUCAGCCACGGAGCUGGAUGCCUGAGGCCCCCUCGCUAGCACACCCCUUGGGAGGGGAGGUCACGGCCACGGGGCACCCAAGGGUGGGCACUUCCAGCACACGGGGUGCAGGCUCUGGGGGGCUGGGGGGUAUGUCUGGAGACCCAUCCUCUCUGCAUCCGUCUUCCUCCGUGGACACAGCUGUGCUGAGAAUGAAGCCAGUGAACACACGCCUGUGCACGACUCACGUCGUGAACCCAGAAGCUGCACGCAGAGGCCACAAGAUGAUUUCAGAUGCCCCGGCCCCGAGAACAUCCCAUCCGGUGCCCUCCUGAAGGAUGCCAAUGUUAACUGAGAACAUGCCGACACCAGGGCAUCUUACGGGGGAGGAGAUCAGGGCUCAGCAUGGUGACCACAGCUCAAGGCCGCACAGCUGGCAAGAAAGUCCAGCUCCAAACACCAUGUCCUCCACCUUCCGAUGAGUCAGCUCCCACGUGCAAUGAAGCCGUGUCUCUCUAGGUGUCCGUUUCCCGUCUGUGUAGCAAGAGACUGGAGAGCAGGCCAGAAGGGCACCCCACACUCUCCCGCCGGACCCUAAGUCCGUCCUCAAGUGACUGGAGCGCAUAGGCCAGGCCACUUCCGUUCCCUCACACAGGCCUGUGUGGAGGGAGGGCCAGCCUGCGGUCGGGGCUGCGCUUGCCCAGGGUCACUCCGAGGCCAGUGGCAAAGCAGGUUCAGACUGAGGCUGGCCGGCCACAAAGCCCACGUCCUUCCUGCAGAGACCGCGCCCCUGAAGGCAGAGCCCAGGGCUCCCUCGUGCCCUGACAGCCGUGCCUUGACCCUGGUGGUGACAAGGC